AAGUUUUUUCGUCAUUGUUAAAUUUCGCCCUAAAAGGUUCUAUGAAAGAAAUUUGAUCACAAAGAAGAUCUUACGCAUAAAAGAUGAAGGUGGAAGAUUUUAUGUAGAGGACUUUACCUAGAAAAGCAUUGAUUAUGAUCAAAAGGGAGAAUAAGGACUUGCCUAAUCCUAUGAGUUCAGAUUCAAAGAAAAUGAUAAAAAAAUGAUGAUGGAAAAAAGGAAAAGAAAAAGAAAAGAAAAAAGAAAAAGAAAACGAAAAAGAAA
Molecule: long non-coding RNA, 264 nt
Filed under: Gossypium raimondii (Peruvian cotton)
Lineage: Eukaryota; Viridiplantae; Streptophyta; Magnoliopsida; Malvales; Malvaceae
Description: long non-coding RNA (GRAI_LNC000800)
Source: RNAcentral